GCCUGGCUAGCUCAGUCGGUAGAGCAUGAGACUCUUAAUCUCAGGGUCUUGGGUUCAAGCCCCCGUUGGGCG
RNAcentral lists this transfer RNA (72 nucleotides) under Danionella translucida. It matches the Rfam family "tRNA". From Rfam's summary of the family: Transfer RNA (tRNA) molecules are approximately 80 nucleotides in length. Their secondary structure includes four short double-helical elements and three loops (D, anti-codon, and T loops). Further hydrogen bonds mediate the characteristic L-shaped molecular structure. tRNAs have two regions of fundamental functional importance: the anti-codon, which is responsible for specific mRNA codon recognition, and the 3' end, to which the tRNAs corresponding amino acid is attached (by aminoacyl-tRNA synthetases). tRNAs cope with the degeneracy of the genetic code in two manners: having more than one tRNA (with a specific anti-codon) for a particular amino acid; and 'wobble' base-pairing, i.e. permitting non-standard base-pairing at the 3rd anti-codon position. RNAcentral also lists the same sequence under 1 other name. Lineage: Eukaryota; Metazoa; Chordata; Actinopteri; Cypriniformes; Danionidae. The record is from Rfam by way of RNAcentral.